RNAcentral lists this long non-coding RNA (1149 nucleotides) under Carassius auratus (goldfish). RNAcentral describes it as "lncRNA (ENSCARG00000056585.1)". Lineage: Eukaryota; Metazoa; Chordata; Actinopteri; Cypriniformes; Cyprinidae. The record is from RNAcentral.
AUAGUUAACCUAAAAAUGAACUAUUUUUUAAUGUUGCAGAGCCAAAUCCUCCUCAGAAUCUCACAGUAACAGCUGUCACGUCCAGUCAGAUUGCAUUGUGUUGGAAUGCCCCCGAUUCUACCCAUAAUGCUCGGUUUGAGCACUUCAUCCUGCACUGGGUGGAUCUAGUCUCUGGCAGAGGCCUUGCCAUUCACUUGGAAAAGUUGAAUCGGAGUGCUGUGAUUGGUGGGUUGAAGGCAUAUCGUGCCCACAGGAUCACAGUUGUGUCUGUCACAGCUCAAGGUGUGGAAAGCUCUGACAGUCUGUCCGUGACUGUUAUCACAGAGGUUAGUCCUCCACGCAGGGUCUCAGCUGAUGCUGUGGGUCUGGAGAACAUGACUGUGUGCUGGUGGCCUUCACUGCACGAGGAAGUUGAUCAAUACUACAUCAAGCUCCACCCACAAACAAAUCAGGCUCAAACUAGAGAAUUCUGGGUAAAUGACUCCACCUGCAUCUCUCUUACACAGCUCAAAUCAGGUGGGACAUAUGAAGUGGGAGUGGCUGCAGUGAAGGGCAGAAACAUGAGCGUAGUGACAACCAUACAACAGACUCUAAGUAUGAUUCAUUAAUGUUUUUAUCUUCUAUUUCCUCAACAAUGCUUCUUUUUCAGUCUACAGAAUGCCUUUUUGAUUCUUCUUUCAGAACCUGACAGCAUCCAGAUUGCUGUCCCAUACACAGUUAGCACACAUUCUGUGGAGCUCUUUGUGCAGAUGCCCAGAAACAGCAUUUAUGAUGGCGUCACCAUUACUUACCAGAAUAAUCGAUCCUGGACGCCAGUGUCCAAAGACAGCACCAAACUGUUAGUCGACAACCUAAGUCCAGGAACACAGUAUGACUUUAAUGUGUUUGUGACCAGCAGAGACACGAGCAGUGAAGGCUUUGUUCUGCCACCUGUGAGAACCUGUUUGGCUCCGCCCACUCAUGUGCGUGCUGGUGUUGUGACUGACAGCUCUAUAGAGCUUCUGUGGGACGGGGCUGAGGGGGGCAGCCACCAUUAUGAGGCGCUGUGUAUGAACUGUGCUGACUCUGUCAUGGUACGAUCCUGUGUGUGAGUACACAUCCUGUGUAUGAUGUCUGUGUUUCUUCUCUUACAUACUAUAAAUGACAACA